Molecule: transfer RNA, 73 nt
Filed under: Myotis lucifugus (little brown bat)
Lineage: Eukaryota; Metazoa; Chordata; Mammalia; Chiroptera; Vespertilionidae
Rfam family: tRNA
About the family: Transfer RNA (tRNA) molecules are approximately 80 nucleotides in length. Their secondary structure includes four short double-helical elements and three loops (D, anti-codon, and T loops). Further hydrogen bonds mediate the characteristic L-shaped molecular structure. tRNAs have two regions of fundamental functional importance: the anti-codon, which is responsible for specific mRNA codon recognition, and the 3' end, to which the tRNAs corresponding amino acid is attached (by aminoacyl-tRNA synthetases). tRNAs cope with the degeneracy of the genetic code in two manners: having more than one tRNA (with a specific anti-codon) for a particular amino acid; and 'wobble' base-pairing, i.e. permitting non-standard base-pairing at the 3rd anti-codon position.
Source: Rfam by way of RNAcentral
GUCUGUGUGGCUCAGUGGAUAGAGCGUCAGCCUGUGGACUGAAGGGUCCCAGGUUCGAUUCCAGCCAAGGGCA